AUUGAACGCUGGCGGCAUGCCUUACACAUGCAAGUCGAACGGCAGCACGGGUGCUUGCACCUGGUGGCGAGUGGCGAACGGGUGAGUAAUACAUCGGAACAUGUCCUGUAGUGGGGGAUAGCCCGGCGAAAGCCGGAUUAAUACCGCAUACGAUCUACGGAUGAAAGCGGGGGACCUUCGGGCCUCGCGCUAUAGGGUUGGCCGAUAGCUGAUUAGCUAGUUGGUGGGGUAAAGGCCUGCCAAGGCGACGAUCAGUAGCUGGUCUGAGAGGACGACCAGCCACACUGGGACUGAGACACGGCCCAGACUCCUACGGGAGGCAGCAGUGGGGAAUUUUGGACAAUGGGCGAAAGCCUGAUCCAGCAAUGCCGCGUGUGUGAAGAAGGCCUUCGGGUUGUAAAGCACUUUUGUCCGGAAAGAAAUCCUUGGCUCUAAUACAGUCGGGGGAUGACGGUACCGGAAGAAUAAGCACCGGCUAACUACGUG
RNAcentral lists this ribosomal RNA (486 nucleotides) under uncultured bacterium. Its description in RNAcentral is "partial 16S ribosomal RNA". It matches the Rfam family "Bacterial small subunit ribosomal RNA", at positions 30 to 507 of the family's 1533-position model. The record is from RNAcentral.